This 2928-nucleotide ribosomal RNA is filed under the name Brenneria goodwinii. RNAcentral's name for it is "LSU rRNA". It matches the Rfam family "Bacterial large subunit ribosomal RNA". Lineage: Bacteria; Pseudomonadati; Pseudomonadota; Gammaproteobacteria; Enterobacterales; Pectobacteriaceae. The record is from RNAcentral.
GGUUAAGCGACUAAGCGUACACGGUGGAUGCCUAGGCAGUCAGAGGCGAUGAAGGGCGUGCUAAUCUGCGAAAAGCGUCGGUAAGGUGAUAUGAACCGUUACAACCGACGAUACCCGAAUGGGGAAACCCAGUGUGUUUCGACACACUAUCAUCACAUGAAUACAUAGUGUGAUGAGGCGAACCGGGGGAACUGAAACAUCUCAGUACCCCGAGGAAAAGAAAUCAACCGAGAUUCCCCUAGUAGCGGCGAGCGAACGGGGAGGAGCCCAGAGUCUGCAUCAGCUUGUGUGUCAGUGGAAGCGUCUGGAAAGUCGCACAACAAAGGGUGACAGUCCCGUACACGAAGAUGCACAAGUUGUGAGCUCGAUGAGUAGGGCGGGACACGAGAUAUCCUGUCUGAAGAUGGGGGGACCAUCCUCCAAGGCUAAAUACUCCUGACUGACCGAUAGUGAACCAGUACCGUGAGGGAAAGGCGAAAAGAACCCCGGCGAGGGGAGUGAAAUAGAACCUGAAACCGUGUACGUACAAGCAGUGGGAGCCUUGAUUAAUCAGGGUGACUGCGUACCUUUUGUAUAAUGGGUCAGCGACUUAUAUUCUGUAGCAAGGUUAACCGAAUAGGGGAGCCGCAGGGAAACCGAGUCUUAACUGGGCGUUAAGUUGCAGGGUAUAGACCCGAAACCCGGUGAUCUAGCCAUGGGCAGGUUGAAGGUUGGGUAACACUAACUGGAGGACCGAACCGACUAAUGUUGAAAAAUUAGCGGAUGACUUGUGGCUGGGGGUGAAAGGCCAAUCAAACCGGGAGAUAGCUGGUUCUCCCCGAAAGCUAUUUAGGUAGCGCCUCGUGAAUUCAUCUUCGGGGGUAGAGCACUGUUUCGACUAGGGGGUCAUCCCGACUUACCAACUCGAUGCAAACUGCGAAUACCGAAGAAUGUUAUCACGGGAGACACACGGCGGGUGCUAACGUCCGUCGUGAAGAGGGAAACAACCCAGACCGCCAGCUAAGGUCCCAAAGUCAUGGUUAAGUGGGAAACGAUGUGGGAAGGCCCAGACAGCCAGGAUGUUGGCUUAGAAGCAGCCAUCAUUUAAAGAAAGCGUAAUAGCUCACUGGUCGAGUCGGCCUGCGCGGAAGAUGUAACGGGGCUAAACCAUGCACCGAAGCUGCGGCAGCGACACUAUGUGUUGUUGGGUAGGGGAGCGUUCUGUAAGCCGUUGAAGGUGGCCUGUGAGGGUUGCUGGAGGUAUCAGAAGUGCGAAUGCUGACAUAAGUAACGAUAAUGCGGGUGAAAAACCCGCACGCCGGAAGACCAAGGGUUCCUGUCCAACGUUAAUCGGGGCAGGGUGAGUCGACCCCUAAGGCGAGGCCGAAAGGCGUAGUCGAUGGGAAACGGGUUAAUAUUCCUGUACUGGUUGUUACUGCGAAGGGGGGACGGAGAAAGCUAGGUUGGCCGGGCGACGGUUGUCCCGGUUUAAGCGUGCAGGUGGGUGUUUUUGGUAAAUCCGGAACACUGUUAACACUGAGGCGUGAUGACGAGUCACUACGGUGAUGAAGUAACCGAUGCUACGCUUCCAGGAAAAGCCUCUAAGCUCUAGGUAACAAUCAAUCGUACCCCAAACCGACACAGGUGGUCAGGUAGAGAAUACUCAGGCGCUUGAGAGAACUCGGGUGAAGGAACUAGGCAAAAUGGUGCCGUAACUUCGGGAGAAGGCACGCUGGAUUUGGUGAAGUCCCUUGCGGAUGGAGCUGAGACCAGUCGCAGAUACCAGCUGGCUGCAACUGUUUAAUAAAAACACAGCACUGUGCAAACACGAAAGUGGACGUAUACGGUGUGACGCCUGCCCGGUGCCGGAAGGUUAAUUGAUGGGGUAAGCUUUCGGGCGAAGCUCUUGAUCGAAGCCCCGGUAAACGGCGGCCGUAACUAUAACGGUCCUAAGGUAGCGAAAUUCCUUGUCGGGUAAGUUCCGACCUGCACGAAUGGCGUAAUGAUGGCCAGGCUGUCUCCACCCGAGACUCAGUGAAAUUGAACUCGCUGUGAAGAUGCAGUGUACCCGCGGCAAGACGGAAAGACCCCGUGAACCUUUACUAUAGCUUGACACUGAACCUUGAGCCUUGAUGUGUAGGAUAGGUGGGAGGCUUUGAAGCGUGGACGCCAGUCUGCGUGGAGCCAACCUUGAAAUACCACCCUUUAAUGUUUGAUGUUCUAACGUGGGCCCCUGAGCGGGGUUGCGGACAGUGUCUGGUGGGUAGUUUGACUGGGGCGGUCUCCUCCCAAAGAGUAACGGAGGAGCACGAAGGUUAGCUAAUCCUGGUCGGACAUCAGGAGGUUAGUGCAAAGGCAUAAGCUAGCUUGACUGCGAGAGUGACGGCUCGAGCAGGUGCGAAAGCAGGUCUUAGUGAUCCGGUGGUUCUGAAUGGAAGGGCCAUCGCUCAACGGAUAAAAGGUACUCCGGGGAUAACAGGCUGAUACCGCCCAAGAGUUCAUAUCGACGGCGGUGUUUGGCACCUCGAUGUCGGCUCAUCACAUCCUGGGGCUGAAGUAGGUCCCAAGGGUAUGGCUGUUCGCCAUUUAAAGUGGUACGCGAGCUGGGUUUAGAACGUCGUGAGACAGUUCGGUCCCUAUCUGCCGUGGGCGUUGGAAGAUUGAGAGGGGUUGCUCCUAGUACGAGAGGACCGGAGUGAACGCACCACUGGUGUACGGGUUGUGAUGCCAAUUGCAUUGCCCGGUAGCUAAGUGCGGAAGAGAUAACCGCUGAAAGCAUCUAAGCGGGAAACUUGCCUCGAGAUGAGUCUUCCCUGGGACCUUGAGUCCCCAGAAGGGCCGUUGAAGACGACGACGUAGAUAGGCCGGGUGUGUAAGCGCAGCGAUGCGUUGAGCUAACCGGUACUAAUGACCCGAGAGGCUUAACCUUACAACACCGAAGGUGUUUUA